AGAGCAAGACUCUGCCUCAAAAAAAAAAAAAAAAAAAAAGAAAAAAAGUGGAAGAACAAUGAAGGAGUAGUCAGCUUGGAGAGGCUUCUAUGGCAAAACUGAGGAUAAUUUGAACAUCAUGAAAAAGAAUACUUGUAAUUGAUUAUGGAACAACCAUAACACUGAAUAAAUAAAAAUCUAUUAUGACACAA
Molecule: long non-coding RNA, 191 nt
Organism: Sapajus apella (tufted capuchin)
Lineage: Eukaryota; Metazoa; Chordata; Mammalia; Primates; Cebidae
Exons: 2
Source: RefSeq, a predicted model, not a curated record